AAGGGUAUAGCUCAGUGGUAGAAGGCAUGCUUUGCAGGCAUGAGGUCCUGGGUUCAAUCCCCAGUACCUCCA
Molecule: transfer RNA, 72 nt
Filed under: Camelus bactrianus (Bactrian camel)
Lineage: Eukaryota; Metazoa; Chordata; Mammalia; Artiodactyla; Camelidae
Also listed under: 2 other names
Rfam family: tRNA
About the family: Transfer RNA (tRNA) molecules are approximately 80 nucleotides in length. Their secondary structure includes four short double-helical elements and three loops (D, anti-codon, and T loops). Further hydrogen bonds mediate the characteristic L-shaped molecular structure. tRNAs have two regions of fundamental functional importance: the anti-codon, which is responsible for specific mRNA codon recognition, and the 3' end, to which the tRNAs corresponding amino acid is attached (by aminoacyl-tRNA synthetases). tRNAs cope with the degeneracy of the genetic code in two manners: having more than one tRNA (with a specific anti-codon) for a particular amino acid; and 'wobble' base-pairing, i.e. permitting non-standard base-pairing at the 3rd anti-codon position.
Source: Rfam by way of RNAcentral